CUCUCGGCAACGGAUAUCUUGGCUCUCGCAUCGAUGAAGAACGUAGCGAAAUGCGAUACUUGGUGUGAAUUGCAGAAUCCCGUGAAUCAUCGAGUCUUUGAACGCAAGUUGCGCCCAACGCCGUUCGGCCGAGGGCACGUCUGCCUGGGUGUCACGCACCGUUGCC
Molecule: ribosomal RNA, 166 nt
Filed under: Fagus hayatae
Lineage: Eukaryota; Viridiplantae; Streptophyta; Magnoliopsida; Fagales; Fagaceae
Description: 5.8S ribosomal RNA
Rfam family: 5.8S ribosomal RNA
About the family: 5.8S ribosomal RNA (5.8S rRNA) is a component of the large subunit of the eukaryotic ribosome. It is transcribed by RNA polymerase I as part of the 45S precursor that also contains 18S and 28S rRNA.
Source: RNAcentral